UGCAGUCGAGCGGACAGAUGGGAGCUUGCUCCCUGAUGUUAGCGGCGGACGGGAGAGUAACACGUGGGUAACCUGCCUGUAAGACUGGGAUAACUCCGGGAAACCGGGGCUAAUACCGGAUGGUUGUUUGAACCGCAUGGUUCAGACAUAAAAGGUGGCUUCGGCUACCACUUACAGAUGGACCCGCGGCGCAUUAGCUAGUUGGUGAGGUAACGGCUCACCAAGGCGACGAUGCGUAGCCGACCUGAGAGGGUGAUCGGCCACACUGGGACUGAGACACGGCCCAGACUCCUACGGGAGGCAGCAGUAGGGAAUCUUCCGCAAUGGACGAAAGUCUGACGGAGCAACGCCGCGUGAGUGAUGAAGGUUUUCGGAUCGUAAAGCUCUGUUGUUAGGGAAGAACAAGUGCCGUUCAAAUAGGGCGGCACCUUGACGGUACCUAACCAGAAAGCCACGGCUAACUACGUGCCAGCAGCCGCGGUAAUACGUAGGUGGCAAGCGUUGUCCGGAAUUAUUGGGCGUAAAGGGCUCGCAGGCGGUUUCUUAAGUCUGAUGUGAAAGCCCCCGGCUCAACCGGGGAGGGUCAUUGGAAACUGGGGAACUUGAGUGCAGAAGAGGAGAGUGGAAUUCCACGUGUAGCGGUGAAAUGCGUAGAGAUGUGGAGGAACACCAGUGGCGAAGGCGACUCUCUGGUCUGUAACUGACGCUGAGGAGCGAAAGCGUGGGGAGCGAACAGGAUUAGAUACCCUGGUAGUCCACGCCGUAAACGAUGAGUGCUAAGUGUUAGGGGGUUUCCGCCCCUUAGUGCUGCAGCUAACGCAUUAAGCACUCCGCCUGGGGAGUACGGUCGCAAGACUGAAACUCAAAGGAAUUGACGGGGGCCCGCACAACCGGUGGAGCAUGUGGUUUAAUUCGAAGCAACCCGAAGAACCUUACCAGGUCUUGGAAUCCCUUGACAACC
This 961-nucleotide ribosomal RNA is filed under the name Bacillus amyloliquefaciens. Its description in RNAcentral is "bacterial SSU rRNA". It matches the Rfam family "Bacterial small subunit ribosomal RNA", at positions 56 to 999 of the family's 1533-position model. The record is from RNAcentral. Lineage: Bacteria; Bacillati; Bacillota; Bacilli; Caryophanales; Bacillaceae.